This 71-nucleotide non-coding RNA is filed under the name Lotharella globosa. The record is from RNAcentral. Lineage: Eukaryota; Cercozoa; Chlorarachniophyceae.
UUUUUUCGCUCUUUUUUUUUUUCUUUUCUUUUUCUUGUUGUUCAGUUGUUUUAGUAAAAGGAAGGCAAGCC